This 396-nucleotide ribosomal RNA is filed under the name uncultured bacterium. Its description in RNAcentral is "bacterial SSU rRNA". It matches the Rfam family "Bacterial small subunit ribosomal RNA", at positions 975 to 1375 of the family's 1533-position model. The record is from RNAcentral.
CAGGACUUGACAUCCUUCUGACAGGCCCUUAACCGGGCCCUCCUUCGGGCAGAAGAGACAGGUGGUGCAUGGUUGUCGUCAGCUCGUGUCGUGAGAUGUUGGGUUAAGUCCCGCAACGAGCGCAACCCUUGUCAUUAGUUGCCAUCAUUAAGUUGGGCACUCUAGUGAGACUGCCGGGGACAACUCGGAGGAAGGUGGGGAUGACGUCAAAUCAUCAUGCCCCUUAUGUCCUGGGCUACACACGUGCUACAAUGGCCGGUACAAAGAGACGCAAGACCGCGAGGUGGAGCAAAUCUUCAAAACCGGUCCCAGUUCGGAUUGCAGGCUGCAACUCGCCUGCAUGAAGUCGGAGUUGCUAGUAAUCGUGAAUCAGAAUGUCACGGUGAAUGCGUUCCC